AAUGAACGCUGGCGGCAUGCCUUACACAUGCAAGUCGAACGGCAGCAUGACCUAGCUUGCUAGGUUGAUGGCGAGUGGCGCACGGGUGAGUAAUGCAUCGGAACGUGCCUUUUAGUGGGGAUAACGUAGCGAAAGUUACGCUAAUACCGCAUAUUCUCUGAGGAGGAAAGCAGGGGACCUUCGGGCCUUGCGCUAGAAGAGCGGCCGAUGUCGGAUUAGCUAGUUGGUGAGGUAAAGGCUCACCAAGGCAACGAUCCGUAGCGGGUCUGAGAGGAUGAUCCGCCACACUGGGACUGAGACACGGCCCAGACUCCUACGGGAGGCAGCAGUGGGGAAUUUUGGACAAUGGGCGCAAGCCUGAUCCAGCCAUGCCGCGUGAGUGAAGAAGGCCUUCGGGUUGUAAAGCUCUUUCGGCUGGGAAGAAAUCGCACCCUCUAAUACAGGGUGUGGAUGACGGUACCAGCAUAAGAAGCACCGGCUAACUACGUG
Molecule: ribosomal RNA, 489 nt
Filed under: uncultured bacterium
Lineage: Bacteria
Description: partial 16S ribosomal RNA
Rfam family: Bacterial small subunit ribosomal RNA
Source: RNAcentral